This is an RNA transcript of Tripterygium wilfordii, 2248 nucleotides long. It is a transcript of the gene named plant UBX domain-containing protein 8-like, with no coding region annotated. The transcript has 11 exons. The record is from RefSeq and is a predicted model, not a curated record. Lineage: Eukaryota; Viridiplantae; Streptophyta; Magnoliopsida; Celastrales; Celastraceae.
CGUGGAACCUUGGAGAGAGAUGUAGUGGCUUCAUACCAAAGCAAAGAAAAGAAUAGCAAUAGCGUCCUCUCUAUCUCUCUAGCUCAAAAUUCUCUGAAUUACAGAAUGGCUCGACCUAAUCAAGAAGCAAUCGAGACGUUCAUGAGCAUCACUGGUGUACCUGAACCGGUCGCUGUAGAAAAGCUUGAGGGUCAUGGUGGUGAUCUCAAUGCUGCUGUUAAUGCACAUUUCAGUGAAGGAGAUACAAACAUUGGGCAUGGACCAUCUAUUGCUGCUCCUGGAGAUGAUCUCAUGGAAAUAGAUGAUCCAAUUGCAACUGGACCUGCAAGACCCCCUUUGUCACUUCUAUCUGGGGCUGGAGCUGUGAAUCCAUUUUCACUUCUGGAUCCAAGCUUCGGUAGAAUUUUAUUUGAUCCUGGUUCUGAUUUUAUGAACAGUGAGCCAUUUGUUACACAUCCAAGGGAGGUAAGGGAGAUUCCCAUAGAGGUUAAGGAUGGUAGCGAGUCAUCAAGAAGCACAGGCCAAGCCCCUAUCAUUGAAGAUGUAACUGACACUGAUCAUGCACAUGGCCAAGAUGUCCAUGGGACUGUCAUCAUUGCCGAUGACAAUGACAAGAAUGCUCCAGCUGUGCCAAAUCCCCUGGUGGCUGCGCAGAAUGGACCACAAGGUGAUAGUUCUCAUGAUACACGUAUUAGGCCAAGUGCUCCUGAGUUUGAUAGGUAUCCAGAUUAUGGCAAUGACAUUGAAGAAGAAAUGAUUCGAGCGGCUAUUGAGGCUUCAAAACAUGAGGUUCAGGAUUUGGAUGAUUUUGGGCCACCACAAGGGCCUCAUUUAGAUUCAGACCUUGAACAUGCAGUCUCAUUGUCUUUGACGACAGCAGAGCAGGAGCAAUCAUUACGUGAGCUGGGAGGAAAAGCUGGAGCUGCAGAAGUUGGAACCUCUGAGGUGGAACUUGACAAAAUAGCUGUGUCAAAUGGAAGGAUCGAGGCAGGGAGUUCAUUUGUCCCAGAUGAAGUGGAAGAUGUAGAGAAGCAGCCUCUUGUUAGGAACAGAUAUCGGAGAAUGCCUUCUGGCCUUGUGGAAUCUUCUACAGAAGCAGCAGUUGUUGAAGCUAGUCCACCAUCAAGCCAUGGACUGCGUGAUACUGACGACCGUUCACCACACAAUGGAGAUGCCUUCCCUUCAAAUGAGUGGGGAGGUAUCUCUUCUGUGGAGCAUGAUGAAGCAGUCAUGCUUGAGGCAGCAAUGUUUGGCGGAAUACCUGAAGGGACUGGGUAUAAUUUUCCAUAUGCACCACAUCAUUUCAUGCAAGCAUCUCACCCUUAUCCUCGGCCAGUUCCUCGUCCUCUGUCACCCUCUUUGGAAGCUCAGCGUUUGAUACGAGAACAACAGGAUGAUGAGUAUUUAGCAUCAUUGCAAGCUGACCGAGAGAAAGAGUUGAAGGCCAUGGAAGAAGCUGAAGCACGUCAUCUACAAGAAAAAGUGGCGAGAGAGGCAGCUCUUGAGGAAGAGAAACAAAAAGAGGUAGAAUCUCGUCGGAAGUUGGAGGAGGAGCAGGCAACCAUUCUAUGUAGUAAAUACUGCUUCGAAGGUGUUCAUUGUUGCCUUCUGUAUGCUAGCAGGAACUUGAAAGGCUAUUAGCAGCAAAAGAAGCUUUGCUGCCUCCAGAACCGUUACUGGAGGAUGAGAAUGCUGUAACCCUUUUGGUACGAAUGCCUGACGGCAGCAGACAUGGCAGGCGGUUUCUGAAGUCUGACAAGCUACAGGCACUCUUUGACUUCAUAGAUAUUGGUAGAGGGGUCAAGCCUGGCACUUACAGACUGGUGAGGCCGUAUCCAAGGCGUGCUUUCAGUGAUGGGGAGAGCGGUUUGACGUUGAACGAACUUGGCCUGACUAGUAAACAAGAAGCCUUGUUUCUGGAACUUAUUUAGGGAUGCCCAUGGGCCUCACAAUCGUAGAAUAUUACUUAUUUAUCGUUUUAGUUUAUUAUGAUAUGAAGUGAUGCUGGAAAUGUGAGAUUUCAUUUGGGUUUAAGGUUUGGACAAGGAGCAUGAAACUUUAAGUAGAUGAACACAUUCAAACUAGCAUGAAAGGGUGGAACAGUUACAAUUUGGUGCUGCUGGAGGGAGUGCUUCUGUAUAUCCAUAUUUAUUCCUGAUUGGGAGGAAAAUAUUGGUAGAACUUAAAAUUUAUUGGUCAUGCUUUUUGGAAUGAAAACUCUAUAAAGCCCUAACAAUUUUUUUCAAAA